This 70-nucleotide transfer RNA is filed under the name Triphoturus mexicanus (Mexican lampfish). RNAcentral's name for it is "tRNA-Arg". It matches the Rfam family "tRNA". Rfam says of the family: Transfer RNA (tRNA) molecules are approximately 80 nucleotides in length. Their secondary structure includes four short double-helical elements and three loops (D, anti-codon, and T loops). Further hydrogen bonds mediate the characteristic L-shaped molecular structure. tRNAs have two regions of fundamental functional importance: the anti-codon, which is responsible for specific mRNA codon recognition, and the 3' end, to which the tRNAs corresponding amino acid is attached (by aminoacyl-tRNA synthetases). tRNAs cope with the degeneracy of the genetic code in two manners: having more than one tRNA (with a specific anti-codon) for a particular amino acid; and 'wobble' base-pairing, i.e. permitting non-standard base-pairing at the 3rd anti-codon position. Lineage: Eukaryota; Metazoa; Chordata; Actinopteri; Myctophiformes; Myctophidae. The record is from RNAcentral.
GGGUAAUUAGUCCAGCACAAGAUACUUGAUUUCGGCUCAAGAGAUUGAGGUUUAAAUCCUCAAUUACCCU